RNAcentral lists this ribosomal RNA (468 nucleotides) under uncultured bacterium. RNAcentral's name for it is "partial 16S ribosomal RNA". It matches the Rfam family "Bacterial small subunit ribosomal RNA", at positions 28 to 507 of the family's 1533-position model. The record is from RNAcentral.
GAUGAACGCUGGCGGCGUGCUUAACACAUGCAAGUCGAACGGACAGGCCAUGAUCUUGUUGCGUGCUCGUGUGGCGAACGGGUGAGUAAAACGCGAGUAACCUGCCCCUGACUUUGGGAUAUCUCUAGGAAACUGGGGCUAAUACAGCAUAGAAGAUACUGCUGCAUGGUGGGGGUUGGAAAGUUUCGGCGGUUGGGGCUUGUCUCGCGGCGUAUCCGCUUCUUGGUGGAGUAGUGGCUUACAAAGGCUUUGACGGAUAGCCGGCCUGAGAGGGUGACCGGCGACAAUGGUACUGAGAGACGGCCCAGAAGCCUACGGGAGGCAGCAGUGGGGAAUAUUGCAGAAUGGGCGGAAGUCUGAUACAGCAACGCCGCGAGCGGGAUGACGGCCUUCUGGGUAUAAACCGCUUUGUCCGGUAACGUAGCGGGAGUGACGGUAAUUAGUAAAGAAGCACCGGCUAACUACGUG